GGUAGCCGGCCUGAGAGGGNGACCGGCCACACUGGGACUGAGANACGGCCCAGACUCCUACGGGAGGCAGCAGUGGGGAAUAUUGCGCAAUGGGCGAAAGCCUGANGCAGCGACGCCGCGUGAGGGAUGAAGGCCUUCGGGUUGUAAACCUCUUUCAGCAGGGACGAAGCGAAAGUGACNGUACCUGCAGAAGAAGCACCGGCUAACUACGUGCCAGCAGCCGCGGUAAUACGUAGGGUGCAAGCGUUGUCCGGAAUUAUUGGGCGUAAAGAGCUCGUAGGCGGUUUGUCGCGUCGGAUGUGAAAACUUGGGGCUCAACCCCNAGCCUGCAUUCGAUACGGGCAAACUAGAGUUCGGUAGGGGA
Molecule: ribosomal RNA, 364 nt
Filed under: uncultured bacterium
Lineage: Bacteria
Description: bacterial SSU rRNA
Rfam family: Bacterial small subunit ribosomal RNA
Source: RNAcentral